Molecule: small RNA, 1763 nt
Filed under: Albotricha guangxiensis
Lineage: Eukaryota; Fungi; Ascomycota; Leotiomycetes; Helotiales; Lachnaceae
Description: bacterial SSU rRNA
Rfam family: Eukaryotic small subunit ribosomal RNA
Source: RNAcentral
UGCAUGUCUAAGUAUAAGCAAUCUAUACGGUGAAACUGCGAAUGGCUCAUUAAAUCAGUUAUCGUUUAUUUGAUAGUACCUUACUACUUGGAUAACCGUGGUAAUUCUAGAGCUAAUACAUGCUAAAAACCCCGACUUCGGAAGGGGUGUAUUUAUUAGAUAAAAAACCAAUGCCCUUCGGGGCUCCUUGGUGAUUCAUAAUAACUUAACGAAUCGCAUGGCCUUGUGCCGGCGAUGGUUCAUUCAAAUUUCUGCCCUAUCAACUUUCGAUGGUACAGUAGUGGUCUACCAUGGUUUCAACGGGUAACGGGGAAUUAGGGUUAACUAUAGAGCCCAUAAUAUUAGGUCACUAGUAGUCUAUGUUAUAGGCGACACACCUGGAUGUCGAGGAAAUCUUUACAGCCUACAGUACUAUCCAGCGGGUAACACCCGCUGCCCAUUUAGGGAGUAACAACCUGUAGGAUUAGAUGACUCGCAGCCGAGUUGGCACUGUGCUGGCCGGUUCAACGCUCGCUAAGGUGUGGGCUCGGUCGAGUUUAAGGUACGGGCUACUCCUACUGGAGACAGUGGGUAAUUAGGUCUAUUCCGGAGAAGGAGCCUGCGAAACGGCUACUACGUCCAAGGAAGGCAGCAGGCGCGCAAAUUACCCAAUCCCGACACGGGGAGGUAGUGACAAUAAAUACUGAUACAGGGCUCUUUUGGGUCUUGUAAUUGGAAUGAGUACAAUUUAAAUCCCUUAACGAGGAACAAUUGGAGGGCAAGUCUGGUGGACUCAGUCCCAGAAGCAUUGCUUCUUGCUGACGCCAGAAAUAGUUAUAUUACUAGUCGACUGUACUUAUAAGCUUUGGGUGUACAGCGGCAAGACAACCUGGACCGGGGAAGGCUACGGUAGUGAAUUUCCUACUAUGCUGAUCCCGAGCCGAGCUCCUGAGGCGAUUCUCAGAGAGCCGGUGUAGAGCACGCAAAGGUGUCGGUUGCCCUACAAUGUAGGCAGCUUAAGGUACGUGCCAUCUCACACGAAAGUGUGCUUUUAACAGGAGCUCCCAAAGAGUAAAUGUUUAAAGACACAGGGGAUCUAUCCUCUGUGUAGGGACAAGAUAUGUGGCUUGUGGGGAUUAUAGACAAGCUAGCCACAUUCAUGUCCGUAUACAUGGCCAGCAGCCGCGGUAAUUCCAGCUCCAAUAGCGUAUAUUAAAGUUGUUGCAGUUAAAAAGCUCGUAGUUGAACCUUGGGCCUGGCUGGCCGGUCCGCCUCACCGCGUGCACUGGUCCGGCCGGGUCUUUCCUUCUGGGGAACCUCAUGCCCUUCACUGGGUGUGUUGGGGAACCAGGACUUUUACUUUGAAAAAAUUAGAGUGUUCAAAGCAGGCCUAUGCUCGAAUACAUUAGCAUGGAAUAAUAGAAUAGGACGUGUGGUUCUAUUUUGUUGGUUUCUAGGACCGCCGUAAUGAUUAAUAGGCUCAGUCGGGGGCGUCAAUAUUCAAUUGUCAGAGGUGAAAUUCUUGGAUUUAUUGAAGAUUAACUACUGCGAAAGCAUUCGCCAAGGAUGUUUUCAUUAAUCAGUGAACGAAAGUUAGGGGAUCGAAGACGAUCAGAUACCGUCGUAGUCUUAACCAUAAACUAUGCCGACUAGGGAUCGGGCGAUGUUAUCUUUUUGACUCGCUCGGCACCUUACGAGAAAUCAAAGUGUGGUUCUGGGGGGAGUAUAGUCGCAAGGCCGAAACUUAAAGAAAUUGACGGAAGGGCACCACCAGGAGUGGAGCU